This 868-nucleotide ribosomal RNA is filed under the name uncultured archaeon. RNAcentral's name for it is "bacterial SSU rRNA". It matches the Rfam family "Archaeal small subunit ribosomal RNA", at positions 1 to 878 of the family's 1478-position model. The record is from RNAcentral.
CUCCGGUUGAUCCCGCCGGACCCGACUGCUAUCAGAGUGGGACUAAGCCAUGCGAGUCAACGUAGCAAUACGUGGCAUACGGCUCAGUAACACGUAGUCAACAUGCCCAGGGGACGAGGAUAACCUCGGGAAACUGAGGAUAAACCUCGAUAGGCCAUGAUUUCUGGAAUGAUUCUUGGCUCAAACCUAUAUGGCCCCUGGAUUGGACUGCGGCCGAUCAGGCUGUUGGUGAGGUAAUGGCCCACCAAACCUAUUACCGGUACGGGCUCUGAGAGGAGGAGCCCGGAGAUGGGCACUGAGACAAGGGCCCAGGCCCUAUGGGGCGCAGCAGGCGCGAAACCUCUGCAAUAGGCGAAAGCUUGACAGGGUUACUCUGAGUGAUUUCCGCUAAGGGAAUCUUUUGGCACCUCUAAAAAUGGUGCAGAAUAAGGGGUGGGCAAGUCUGGUGUCAGCCGCCGCGGUAAUACCAGCACCCCGAGUGGUCGGGACGAUUAUUGGGCCUAAAGCAUCCGUAGCCGGUCCUGCAAGUCUUCCGUUAAAUCCAGCUGCUCAACAGAUGGGCUGCGGGAGAUACUACAGGGCUAGGAGGCGGGAGAGGCAAGCGGUACUUUGUGGGUAGGGGUAAAAUCCGCUGAUCCAUAGAAGACCACCAGUGGCGAAGGCGGCUUGCCAGAACGCGCUCGACGGUGAGGGAUGAAAGCUGGGGGAGCAAACCGGAUUAGAUACCCGGGUAGUCCCAGCUGUAAACGAUGCAGACUCGGUGAUGGGUUGGCCUCGCGCCUGCCCAGUGCCGCAGGGAAGCCGUUAAGUCUGCCGCCUGGGGAGUACGGUCGCAAGACUGAAACUUAAAGGAAUUAGAGGGGGAGCA